AUGCUGGCUUUGCUCUCUCGCCUUUCCAGCUACGACCAGGGAGUGGGCUGGGUCUCCUCCCCGGGCCCUCCCAAAGGGAAGGACCUCUCAGGUUCCAAGAAGAUGGGUGCAGCGGAGCUGGACGGGUGUCUCUGGCCUUGCUCUCCUCGGAGGGAUGGUUCCCCAGGAAGUUCGUGCUCCCCCCCCUCAAGCCCCAGCUUUGGACGGUCUCAACAGCAGAGCUUUCUUAAGAAAAUGCUUGUCAUGGCAACAGCUCCAGCCAACUCGGGCCAGAGUCUUGCUCACCAGCUCUCCCGGAGCAGUGAGGGAGGAGAAGGGGGAGGAGCGAGAGCUGGAACGGAGGUGGGGCUUGGCUGGAGGCCAGACCAUGACUCUACUGUUAAGGUGGCCCGAUUUCGAGCUGCAGCUGCUUCCUGGUUUGUCUUAAGGCGGAAUGGAGAAAUGGAGGGGAAGAAUCCUCUCUUCUCUCUGGUUUCCUCCCCGCCCUUGCUGUCACUUGUGGGAAGGAAGACAAAUGGCCUCAAGAAGGCCUGGGGACAGAGUGGACUAAGAAUUUCCACGAGACCAUGUCCCUAUCUGAUGGAUCCAGAUUACGUGGCCAAGAAAGAUGCUGAAAUCUCCUCUGUCCCCGUCAGUCACUUGGACAUGCCUCUGAAACAAAGGGACGGCUAUUUCCUUGUUAGGGGGAUCCUGUCGGCCUGGAGAUUCAAGACCAAGCCAUCACACAUUGGAGGAAUUCUGGUAACCCCAGCCCGACUGUAAAUUUUGUGGGGGCAGAGACCUCGGCUUCUAUGAUGCUGCUGGGCAGGUGCUUAAUCAAUGCUUGUUGACACGUUGGGGAAAAAGUCAGCCCAGGUGAGAGCGCUUUCCAUAGUUGGAAAACGGGGNNGGGGGGGGGGCGGGGGGGCGGGGAGAAGCCUGAUACACAAGCUUCCGUGUCAGACUUGGACUUGAAUCGUAGCCCUGACACGUCACAGCUGUGUGACCUGGGGCAUGUCGCUUCGCCUCUCUCAUCUGGGGUUCCCAGAUCUGUAGAGAGUCGUUAACAAUAGUGCCUACCUCACAGGGGUGUUACGAGGUACCUAACAGAACGCCACUGGCCCACGGCAGGUGCAGAAGCGCCCCCCCCAGCCCCCAGCUUGCGCACUUCACUUCCUAAGAACACUUCUUGAAGCUCCAGAUGGAGAUAUUCUUGGAGUUUUGUCCUGGUCUUGGUAUGUGUUUCUGGGUCAUACAGUUUCUCAUUCUGUCAUAGCUUUUUUUUUUUUUUUUGGUCAUUCUUUAUUUUUUCGUUUUUCUGUUUCUCUUCUCCUCUUACCUUUUCUUAAACACUUUCUGCUGUCUUUCUGCUGUCUUCCACCCCACACUUUCCCUCCCUCCCCUCUUUCCUUCUUCCUUUCUCCUUCCUGACCCCUAGCCUCCCGGGCCUCUGUGUGACUGCACUGCUCCCCUUGCUGUCUUGGUCGCAUGUUCCUCUGUUCAUGGCACAGGACGGCUUUCCUCAGGGAAUCCAAGGAAAUGAGUGAGAAGCAUCUCCCACCUCAGCAACCAGAUGGGGAGCUGCUCUCCACAGAGAAUGACAUCGUCAUUUCUGGGAAAAGCUUUUAACUCUUGGAACCCAAAUGGCUCUCGCUUUGUGUCGCUGCUUCUAUUUCUCAAGGGCCCUGGGCUCCAUCAGGGUCCUCGGAAAACCAGUAGCAGAGGUCUCGGAAAUUGUGCUGCCCAGGCAGAGGACCGCCUCCGCCGAGUCCACUUCCAGGACAGGAUUCAGCAGGACCCAGGGGGGUGGGGAUACGGUGUUGAGGACCCGGAGGCCCCCAUCUGAUGAGGGAGGCCACACUCCCAUGAGUCAGAGCUGAC
Long non-coding RNA from Ailuropoda melanoleuca (giant panda), 1860 nucleotides. The record is from Ensembl. Lineage: Eukaryota; Metazoa; Chordata; Mammalia; Carnivora; Ursidae.